This 381-nucleotide unclassified non-coding RNA is filed under the name soil metagenome. RNAcentral describes it as "partial contains 5.8S ribosomal RNA, internal transcribed spacer 2, and large subunit ribosomal RNA". The stretch from base 1 to 120 matches the Rfam family "5.8S ribosomal RNA", at positions 35 to 154 of the family's 154-position model. The record is from RNAcentral.
GAUGAAGAACGCAGCGAAAUGCGAUAAGUAAUGUGAAUUGCAGAAUUCAGUGAAUCAUCGAAUCUUUGAACGCAUCUUGCGCUCCUUGGUAUUCCGAGGAGCAUGCCUGUUUGAGUGUCAUUAAAGUUCUCAACCAUGCCAGUUUUCUCUGGUCCAUGGCCUUGGAUGUGGGGGGUAUAUCAUUUUGCUGGCUUUGGAGACAAAGUCGGCUCCCCUGAAAUGCAUUAGUAGUAUUCGAGCAGAAAUCUACCACAGGUGUGAUGAAUUAUCUAUGCCUUGGUAUCAACUGUGUGCACUGCUUUCUCUAACAACAUUUGACAAAUUUGACCUCAAAUCAGGCAGGACUACCCGCUGAACUUAAGCAUAUCAAUAAGCGGAGGA